UAUCUCUGUAGAGUCUGCAUAUCAAUAAGCGGAGGAAAAGCUGGGUACUCCCGCUCAUAUUUAUUACAAAUUUGAAGGCAACAACACUUCCGGAAGCCACAAGCUCAAUUCUGCUAUUGCUCAGGCAUAUUAUGCAAAGAUGCAGGGCUUAAAGGGCGUUACCACCGAGACCGGUGCAGGCCAGUGGGGUACUGCGCUGUCCAUGGCUUGUUCCUAUCUGGAUCUGGAUUGUCAGGUAUAUAUGGUUAAGUGCUCCUACGAGCAGAAGCCUUUCCGCCGCGAGGUAAUGCGUACUUACGGUGCAAAGGUGACACCUUCCCCUUCCAUGCUGACCAAUGUGGGCCGCAAGAUCAACGAGGAAUUCCCCGGUACCACCGGAAGCCUUGGUUGUGCCAUUUCUGAGGCAGUAGAAGCUGCUACCAGCCAGGAAGGUUACCGUUAUGUGCUGGGCUCCGUGCUCUCCCAGGUAAUGCUGCAUCAGUCCAUCAUCGGUCUGGAGGCUAAGGCUGCUCUGGACAAAUACGGUAUUAAGGCGGAUAUGGUAAUCGGCUGCGCAGGCGGUGGUUCCAAUCUGGGCGGUCUGAUCUCUCCUUUUGCAGGUGAGAUGCUGCGCGGUGAGGCUGACUACAAGCUGAUCGCUGUAGAACCCAAGUCCUGUCCCAGCAUGACCAGAGGUACCUACGCUUAGGAUGUUGAAGACUCUACAGAGAUA
RNAcentral lists this ribosomal RNA (712 nucleotides) under uncultured Neocallimastigales. RNAcentral's name for it is "partial large subunit ribosomal RNA". The record is from RNAcentral. Lineage: Eukaryota; Fungi; Neocallimastigomycota; Neocallimastigomycetes; Neocallimastigales.